Molecule: ribosomal RNA, 712 nt
Filed under: uncultured marine Phaeocystaceae
Lineage: Eukaryota; Haptophyta; Phaeocystales; Phaeocystaceae
Description: SSU rRNA
Rfam family: Eukaryotic small subunit ribosomal RNA
Source: RNAcentral
GACUUGUACUGUGAAACUGCGAAUGGCUCAUUAAAUCAGUUAUGGUUUCUUUGAUGGUACCUUGCUACUUGGAUACCCGUAGUAAUUCUAGAGCUAAUACAUGCAGGAGUGCCCGACUUCGGAAGGGCUGUAUUUAUUAGAUAAGAAACCUUCUCGGGUUCGCCCGGUUGUGUGCUGAGUCAUAAUAACUGCUCGAAUCGCACGGCUCUACGCCGGCGAUAGUUCAUUCAAAUUUCUGCCCUAUCAGCUUUCGAUGGUAGGAUAGAGGCCUACCAUGGCGUUAACGGGUAACGGAGAAUUAGGGUUCGAUUCCGGAGAGGGAGCCUGAGAAAUGGCUACCACAUCCAAGGAAGGCAGCAGGCGCGUAAAUUGCCCGAAUCCUGACACAGGGAGGUAGUGACAAGAAAUAACAAUACAGGGCUACUUCUAGUCUUGUAAUUGGAAUGAGUACAACUUACAUCUCUUCACGAGGAUCAACUGGAGGGCAAGUCUGGUGCCAGCAGCCGCGGUAAUUCCAGCUCCAGAAGCGUAUAUUAAAGUUGUUGCAGUUAAAACGCUCGUAGUCGGGUUUCGGGUCGGGCCGAGCGGUCUGCCGAUGGGUAUGCACUGUUUGGCGCGGCCUUCUUUCCGGAGACCGCGGCUACUCUUAACUGAGCGGGCGUGGGAGACGGAUCGUUUACUUUGAAAAAAUCAGAGUGUUUCAAGCAGGCAG